CCUACGGGAGGCAGCAGUGAGGAAUAUUGGUCAAUGGCCGUAAGGCUGAACCAGCCAAGUCGCGUGAAGGAAGAAGGAUCUAUGGUUUGUAAACUUCUUUUAUAGGGGAAUAAAGGUAUCCACGUGUGGCUAUUUGCAUGUACCCUAUGAAUAAGCAUCGGCUAACUCCGUUCCAGCAGCCGCGGUAAUACGGAGGAUGCGAGCGUUAUCCGGAUUUAUUGGGUUUAAAGGGUGCGUAGGUUGUUUUUUAAGUCAGCGGUGAAAGUUUGUGGCUCAACCAUAAAAUUGCCGUUGAAACUGGAAGACUGGAGUGUGUUUGAGGUAGGCGGAAUGCGGGGGGAAGCGGUGAAAUGCAUAGAAAUCA
This 364-nucleotide ribosomal RNA is filed under the name uncultured bacterium. Its description in RNAcentral is "partial 16S ribosomal RNA". It matches the Rfam family "Bacterial small subunit ribosomal RNA", at positions 338 to 699 of the family's 1533-position model. The record is from RNAcentral.